GUCAAUCUUCAUCUCUUCCAAAUUACAGUAUUCAAGAUCUAACUCCUGAAGAUUCUCCAUGUAUGCUAGAUGUAAGACAUUGAACGGUGCACUUUCACAUUGGUAAACCCAUACAGAUUGCGUGAUGCUCACCAGCUUUGGAUAUUUCAAAAACUUUUGGACAGCAAGUGAACUUCGGAAGGUCCAGCUUAAAACAUUUAAACGCUUCAAACCCAGCAAUUCCUUCAUCAAAGGUUCAGCAUCAGCACAUAGAACGUUAGCUUCUUCUUCUUCUGUUACACUGCAACAACCGCACCCACGCAACCUGAGUACCUCCAAAUUUGAAAAGCCAGAUAUCAAUUGAUGUGGAAUUAUAGACAAAUUAAAUGCAUACUCCAAGUUCAAAUAUCUCAACUUCUCCAACGCCUUCAGCUCUUGCGGCAACCCAGUUAUGUCAGCCGAUGAUAGAUCAAGAUGAUGUAAUGAAACCAAACUUGAAAUCCCUGAAGGUAGUGUACUUAGGUGAAAAUUUUCACUGAGACUUAAUACUCUAAGAGACGACAUAGAUUGAAAGAAGCCGUCAGUGAUCUCCACAAUCGGAUUUUCAUCCACAAGUAAAGUUACGAGACGCGGACACGUGGGAAUUUCCGAUAGGCUUUCAAUUCCAUUUCCCAUCAGAGAUACCCGUUUGGCACCUUCCCAUUCUUCAAUCUUUGGUGCUUCGGUCAAUUUAACUCCAGCGCGAACCAGAAAGUUCUGCUCCUCCUUGUCUACCGUGCACGCUAUCCAUAAUGACAUCUCACGAAUCAUAUCGUGCAUCUUUACAUGAUCAUCGCCUUCUUCCUCCAAUAAGCAUGCUUGAAGAAGGUCAUCAAUAAAAUCGCAUCCAUCAUCAAAAUCAUAUACAAAUCCUUCACUAAUCCAGUAAUCAAUCAAUUCCCUUCUAGGAAUUUCGUAGUCUUCAGGAUAUAAACAACAAUACAGGAGACAGGAACGAAGUUCGUCCGUAGACAAACUAUCAUAGCUGAACUUUAAACGCGAAAACACCUCUUCUUUCAUACCUGAGAAUUUAGAAGCUGAUGUUGUCAUUUUGUGAAUUGCACGUUUCCAAUCUCCAACUUUCCUUUGGCUUUUCAUGGCUCGACCCACUGUUUUAAGCGCUAGCGGCAACCCACCACACUCUCUUGCCAGGGUUUCGGCUAGCUCUGGAAUACUGGUAUGACUGUCAAGAGUGGAUCUGUCGACCAUCUCCUGAAAUAAUUCCCAGGCUUUAUCAUGCGCCAAACUAUACACUUCCAACUUUUUAGCGUCCAUUUGAUCGCAAACACCAGCUGAACGAGUUGUCAAGACUAUUUUGGACCCAUCAUUUAGAUUUUGAAGAGGGACACCCAAUUGUGUUAAAUCAAUGCGCUCCCAUAUAUCAUCCAAUAACAACACAAACUUCUUUCCGCUUAAAAUUCUAGCGAUGUCCGCAGCCUUGUCUCGAAGACUUUUUUUCUCCCAGCUUGGGUCUUCUGAAAAGCCAAUCCUUUUUCCAAUGUCAUCUUGAAGUGUUGACGCAGCCGCCCAGAUAACAACAUCAAAAUUAUGCUGUUGAUGGCAGAAGUUGUUGUUGACUUGUUUUAAAAGGGUAGUUUUGCCGACUCCCCCUAUACCAUACAAGCCGAUAAUUCCCCUGUUAUUUUCCUCAUCAGUGAUACAUCGCCAAACUCGAUCCACUAGUAAUUCUUGACCAACAAUUGUUUGCGCAAGAGGUAAUUCAAUUGCUGCACCAUCUGGCGCCUUCUCAACAACGACUUCAAUUUUUUCUCCGUCCUUCCUUAAAUUGAUCACUCGAUCCGUCAACAUGACCACUUUUCUGCCGAAAUCGUAGCUUGAAGCCAAGUUUUUGGAACAGAGGCCUCCAAGGCACAAUCUAUCCAUUUCUUGAGCUUUAACUUGUUGCAGCUUCGUAAAUUCAUUUUCCAGUUUUUGCACAUCUUCAAGCCACCCUGCGACCUGGUUCGUUCGUCUGGUUCGAGGUCGUUGUUCUUCGACCUCAACCCUGGUCUUCAGAUCGUCCCUUGUUCGAGUCAAUUUGUGCAAUUCAGUCUCCAAGCCCUCAAGAUUUUUUUCGAGACCCCAUAUAUAUUUUGCUUGUUGACCAACGCAGUUUAAAGUUCGAUUAAAAAAGUCUGGUUGUAAGAAAGUUGAGAUUAAGUUACCCAUUGUCGUUCACGAAAAGAGGAAGAGAAGCGAUGGGUACAAUGAAAAGAAUUAUGCUGCUUUGGAGAGGGUUAUAUUUAGAGAAGCACAAUACCGAAAUAAAAAUAUGAUACAUUUGUUGCUUUAUAAUUCAUAUGUCAAAUAUCAAGAAUAUAAUGAUACGCUUACACGUCAUAUAAAAUUUGCAAUUCAACCCAGUAAUCACAUAGUUAAUAUUAAAUCUUAUCAUUUGUUAUCUAAGUGAUAAAUUUAUAUUGAUAAUAUAUUUUUUAGAAUAAAAAUUUUCUACCUUAACUUGGAUGAAGAUUCAAAAUAUUAAGUCAAUGAUAGAUAGAUAAAAAAUAAAAUAAAAUAAAUUUUAACAUUAAUUCCUGGAAUCUGUCACCAUUUUUUUCCCUUAGUAACAACCAUGUUCGCUUGAGAGACCACCACAACAUGAAUAAUUUCUUCUUGGUCGACCAAAUUGGCCUUAAGAGGCUUGUGAUCUCCCUUUCUAUACUUGCAUUUGAUAGCAAAAUGUCCACAAACAUAACAAUUGCCUUUUUAAGGAAUCAAACAAGACUUAAUUAGGCGAUAAACCAGUCUAUUGGCUAGAGCCACUCAAAGUUUGAAUGAAGGUAAUUUUUCUAUCAAGAGAAGAAUUGUAAUCCUUAGAAUAUUUGAGAUGAUUUUGAGUGGUGCCAUAUCAAAAUUGAUAUAUACUAAUUUUGAUAUAUAAUUAUAUGAUUAUAAAUAUAAUGAAUAAUAAUCUAAAAAAAAAUAGGCGAUAAAGUUUAUUACAUCCACGAACAUAAAGGUCACGUUCAAGUAAAUGUGACCGUUGGACGUUGACAGCCCCUAAAAAAGAACCAAAAAAAAUCUAAUUUGAUAAAACGACGUCAGGAUUCGAAAUGGUCACGGGUUAAAAAAUUUAUUGGAAGCAUAAUAUUAACGUGCGCUUGCUUCUUCCAAAACAGCAAGAGACUGAAUGCUGAGCCUCUCUGAAAAAGAAGCUGCGUUCUGUAAGACUGAAACGUUUAGCUGAGACCUUGUGUUAAUUUUUUACAACCCUAAACCCUAAACCCUAAACCACUUGCUCUUAAUUGUCACCCGCAUUACCGUAGGAAUAGGAUUUCUCUCUAUCUCAGUUUUACUAAAUUUUUAAAAAUUUAUUUUUAUGUGUCUUUUAAUUAUAGUAUAUAAAUAAAAUUUUAUUUUUUAAUUUUUUUAAUUUAUUAACUAUCAAUCAUUUUAAAUUAUUUAAUAUGAUCAGAUCAAAAGAAAAUUUUUAUCUUUUAAUUUAACUAUGUCAAUUAAUAUUACAUAUCCUAAUUUUCUUAAAUGAUGCGGCAUUUAUUAAUUAGACACUAAGAUAGCACUAUUAAUUUAUUUAUAUAUUUUAUAAAAAACUAUCAAUCACUUACAUUACAUACUAUAUUCUGAAAAAAAAAUUUGAGUUAUCUAUUAUUAUUUAAAAAGGAGGAGUAAUUUUGGUAUGCUAAGGUUAUUUCACAAACGUAAUAAAGAAAUUUGUGAUGAUGAACACAGUGAUAGGGCAAUUAUUGAAGCAGCAAUGACUUCGUCUGUUGCGCGUGGGAAAUCUAUUAGUAAUAUAAAGGAAAAUAAAAAGUACCCUAUGUCUUUUCAACUAUUAUUAUUUUUCCAAGGCGAACUAGCCAAAUAUGUAUGAUAAAUGUCCCUAAUAUUUUUUCUGUAAAUACAAAGACAAAUUAAAUUCAACUAGAACAAAAGUCUUUCACUGGAACCCAAUAGAUAAAAGACCAAAAUGAUAUCUAGACAUACCUCAUUGUAUAGCAAUGGAAGCUUACAAGUUAAAAUAGUAUUUAUAAUCUUUUGUAACUUUCAAAUUCUGCAUUGGAUUCUGCAACUCAUCAAGAUUAGCUUUUUAGAUCUCAUAUAUAUUUUAGCAUCUCCACGAAGGAAAAAUAAAAUAAAACUGCAAGAAUUGAGUCUGGUGAUAAGAAGCACGCAUGAGAAUGAUGUUACCCAUUUUUGUUAACAAAAAUUUCAAGGAAGAAAAUAAAGUGAGAAAGAAAGAAUUAUGUUUGUGAAAAUGGAAGAGAAGGUAGGAAUUGUAUUAUAAGACUGCAAUGUUAAGUGGCUUGGUUGUGUAGGUGAGACAUUUCAUCGAACUUCUUUACAUUUCCAUCAAACACCUUGUUCUUUAACCGUCUGUGACGUCCUUUAUACCCGUCCAUAGACAUUAAAUUGGCUGAUGUCAAGUGAAUUUGAGACUACAAAUGUGCAGCUCUUGCCUUAAUCUCCUUAGAAUCCUGAAGGGUGAAAACUUAUACCUUAUAGACUUAAGGUACGUUUAGGAUUGAAGUGUUAUAACUUUUAAGCUACAGUUGCUGUAAAAAAAAAAAAUUUAAAUAAUAAUUUUGAUGAAAUUAUUAAUAAUAAUAUAAUAAAUUCUCCAUUAUACAAGUGAAAAAUUAUAUCAACAUAUCUUUCAAGACACAACAAUUAGUAUUUACUAAACACUUUACUACUGUACCUUUUAAGGUACAGGUAUCCAACUUCAAUUCUAAAUGCACUCUCAUAUGUAUACCCUUUAUAUAAGGCUGAUAGAGUAAUGUAAACUAUAUUGUCCUUUUUUUCUUGUGUUAAUUGAAAUAAUUAAAACUCAAAAUUUGUAAGUGAGGCCACUUGAUUGCAGCAAAGGAGAGCAGUGAAGGGAAGAUAAAAUUUUACCGACAUUGAACUUGUUAUUUCUCUCUCUACUAUAUUGUAGUGUUUACUUUUUAGAGUGGGAGUUUGGAGUGUGGAGUGUGGAGUGUGGAUUCCUCCCACUCUCCCACUCUAGUGUUUACUUAUCUUAAAAAAGGGGGAAGUGGGAGUGGGAAUCCGUGGGUCCCACCCAAUUUUGGAGUGGGAAGUGGGAUUCCCACUCCCAUGGGGGGAGGUGGGAGUGGGAAUCCACUCCCCCCUCUUCCCAUUUUAUCCCUAUAAUUAAAUUAAUAAAUAAUAUUUAAUAAAAUAAAUAAUAUCAUAUUUAUUAAAAAUAAUAAUGAUAUCAUAUUUAUUUUAUUAAAUUUAAUAAAAUAAAAAUAAAUAAAUAUUAUAUUUAAAUUAAUAAUAUUAAACAUUAUUAAUUUUAAUAAAUAUUAAUUAAUUAUUUAAUUAAUAAUAAUAAAUAUUUUAUUCUAAAAAAAUAUUAAUUUUGUACUAUAUUAUCAAUAAUAAUAUUUCAUUUGUGUUGUUAUUAUUAAUAAUUUUUAUUCACAUAAUUUAAAUUAAAAUUAAUAAAAAAUUAUGAUUUACAUAAUUAAGAAUAUUAGUAAUUAUUAUUAAUUUAGAAAUAUAAUAAAAUAUUUAUUUUAUUUUCCAAAUAUUUUUUAUUAAUUUUUUAAUUAUAAAUUAUAAUUCUGUACAUAAGGAUAAAAUUGUAAUUUAAAACAAUUUACUCCCAAUCCAAGACAAAGUAAACAAAUAAUUAGGAUUCUGAUUGACAAUCUAUACUUUCACACCCUACUCUACACUCCUAAUCCAAGGAUUCCCACUCCUCAGGAUUCCCACUCCAAUCCAAAAAGUAAACGCAGCAUAUAUAUAUUAGCUUGUUGUUAAUUAUAAUCUUUGCAACCAAAUAAUGUAGAAUAUGUAUACGGGUGCGAAAUUUUCCAUAGGGAAUUCAGUGUUCGAUUUAAACUGCACUUUUAUAGUUUGUUCUCCAUUUACUCCUUACUUUCAGAUCUUUGUGACAAUCACAAUUUUGUCAACCAAAAUAAAGGUCGCAUUCAAGCAAAUUAAAUGUGACCUUUGGACAUUAGCAUCAACCUCUAAAGUGAUAGCAGUAACAAACAGCUCAGCACAAAUAAUUGAGGCCCUGCACUUUCAUUAGAGGAUGGGAGAAGAGAACACUUGAUUUGAUAGCAAGACGCCAAGACCAGGACAGAGACCAAGACGAAGACCGAUGAAAAGCCCUAAACAAACCAAAAAAUAAAAAUAAAAAUGCAGUUAUGAUUAUCGUCGAAUACUUCAAACAUACGACAAGUCCAAGUUUAGCUAAGGCCUAGUGUAUAAAUUUUCUACAAGCUGUUGAAUGAGAAAAUUUGUCUAAUUCUUAAGUCUUACCUGCCAAUCACAUCAUUUUAAAUUUAGUCUGUUGAGUAGAAUUUUACUUUUAUAAUUUUUAUCUCAAAAAUCUAUUUUAAAUUAUAUAAUAUUUAUUAAUUAAAUAAUAAAAUAGCAUAAUUAAUUUAUUUAAAUCCUAUAUUAAAUUAUCAAUCACUAAAUAAAUGACACAUUACAUACUAUAUUAUUUAAAAUAAAAAUUUAAAAUAUUUACCGUUACUUAAAAAAAUUAAUUUCCUUUUCCUAAAGUUAUUUCACAGACGCAAGUACAAAAUUCUGUGAUCAUGCACAAAGUGAUAGGGCAAUUAUUGAAUAAAUAUCUCACCAAAUAUAAUUAUAGCAAAUUAAAUAAAUAUUUACUAUGACUUCAGCAUCUGAGUUCCCACUCUAUAAAUAUGCCAGCAUUUUAAAACAAACAAGACUUAAGCGACAAAUACAAUUUUGUCGACGAGUAAAAAGGUCGCAUUCAAGCCAAAGGAGAAAUUCUUUCCAGUGGGAGGAUUCUAAAACCAAGAAUCCACUGCUGAAAUUUUAUUAACUGAAAAUAGAUAACGAUUGACACACCAGACAACAACAACAAGAUGCAAUUAAAUCUAAUGAAAAUUAAAAAAAGAAAAAAGAAAUACAUAUUCAAACAUAUUAAUGAAAAUCAUCCCCAAGUACGACACCGGAAGAGAAAGCAUUUUGGGUGGCUUGGUCCUCCCAUUGUAGCUCUUCCCACCAUUUUUUCGACCCCUCGAUGACAACUCGACGUUCCUUCGCGCUGCUGGAAUUGAGUGGGAGCUUCUUCAGCUGUCGGCAUUCACGUACUUCAAUUUUCUUCAGCUUUGGAAAGGGCAGGGGAUUCGGGUAAACGCUCUUUAAAUUUCUUCCCCACUUUAUGGUUAGAGAUUCGAGUUGUGCAAAAAAGUUAUGCUCUGACCCGAUUAUCUUCGAAAUAUCUCUCAAUUUAUCAACACUAAUUAUUUCUUCCGUUUCUGUACAAAAGACUAUACGCAGCUGCUUGAGAAUUUGAACAAAAACUAGCCACGUUAAGUCUUUCAUUUUUUUGCAACUCCAUAUGACAACUCUGUCGAGACUGCGGAAACCACUUUGAAAAAGUUUCUUUACCUCUUCUGUGCUGUCAGUCUUCAUCUCUUCCAAAUUACUGUCUGAAAUGCGUAACUCCUGAAGAUUCUCCAUGUAUGCUAGAUGUAAGACAUUGAACGGUGGACUUUCACAUUGGCAAACCAUUACAGAUUGAGUGAUGCUCACCAGCUUUGGAUAUUUCAAAAACUUUUGGACAGCAAGUGAACUUCGGAAGGUCCAGCUUAAAACAUUUAAAUGCUUCAAACCCAGCAAUUCCUUCAUCAAAGGUUCAGCAUCAUCACAUAGAACGUUACCUUCUAUUACGCUCCAGCGACCGCGUGAAAGCAACCUGAGUACCUCCAACUUUGAAAAGCCAGAUAUCAAUUGAUGUGGAAUUAUAGACAAAAACCGUGUAUAGUCCAAGUUCAAAUAUCUCAACUUCUCCAACGCCUUCAGCUCUUGCGGCAACCCAGUUAUGUUAGUCGAUGAUAGAUCAAGAUGAUGUAAUGAAACCAAACCUGAAAUCCCUGAAGGUAGUGUUCUUAGGGGAAAAUUUCCUCUUAGACUUAAUACUCUAAGAGAAGACAUCGAUUGAAAGAAGCCAUCAGUAAUCUCCUCAAUCCGAUUUCCACCCAGAAGUAAAGUUACGAGGCGCGGACACGUGGGAAUUUCCAAUAAGCUCCUAAUUCCAUUUCCCAUCAGAGAUACCCGUUUGGCACCUUCCCAUUCUUCAAACUUUGGUGCUUCGGUCAAUUCAACUCCAGCGCGAACCAGAAAGUUCUGCUCCUCCUUGUCUACCGUGCACGCUAUCCAUAAUGACAUCUCACGAAUCAUAUCGUGCAUCUUUACAUGAUCAUCGCCUUCUUCCUCCAAUAAGCAUGCAUGAAGAAGGUCAUCAAUAAAAUCGCAUCCACCAUCAAAAUCAUAUACAAAUCCUUCACUAAUCCAAUAAUCAAUCAAAUCCCUUUUAGGAAUUUCGUAGUCUUCAGGAUAUAAACAACAAUACAGGAGACAGGAACGAAGUUCGUCCGUAGACAAACUAUCAUAGCUGAACUUUAAACGCGAAAACACCUCUUCUUUCAUACCUGAGAAUUUAGAAGCUGAUGUUCUCAUUUUGUGAAUUGCACGUUUCCAAUCUCCAACUUUCCUUUGGCUUUUCAUGGCUCGACCCACUGUUUUAAGCGCUAGCGGCAACCCACCACACUCUCUUGCCAAGGUUUCGGCUAGCUCUGGAAUACCGGUAUGACUGUCCAGAGUGGAUCUGUCGACCAUCUCCUGAAAUAAUUCCCAGGCUUUAUCAUGCGCCAAACUAUACACUUCCACCUUUUCAGCGUCCAUUUGAUCGCAAACACCAGCUGAACGAGUUGUCAAGACUACUUUGGACCCAUCAUUUAGUUUUUGAAGAGGGACACCCAAUUCUGUUAAAUGAAUGGGUUUCCAUAUAUCAUCCAAUAACAACACAAACUUCCUUCUGCUUAAAAUGCUAGCGAUGUCCACAGCCUUGUCUUGAGGACUUUUUUUCGCCCAGCUUUGGUCUUCUGAAAAGCCAAUCCUUUUUCCAAUGUCAUCUUGAAGUGUUGACGCAGCCGCCCAGAUAACAACAUCAAAAUUAUGCUGUUGAUGGCAGAAGUUGUUGUUGACUUGUUUUAAAAGGGUAGUUUUGCCGACUCCCCCUAUACCAUACAAGCCGAUAAUUCCCCUGUUAUUUUCCUCAUCAGUGAUACAUCUCCAAACUCGAUCAAGUAAUAAUUCUUGACCAACAACUGUGUGCUCAACAGGUAAUUCAAUUGCUGCACCAUCCGGCGCCUUCUCAACAACCACUUCAAUUUUUUCUCCGUCUUUCUUUAAAUUGAUCACUCGAUCCGUCAACUCGACCACCUGAGUCCCGUAAUUGUAGCUUGAAACGAAGUUUUUGGAACAGAGGCCUCCAAGGCACAAUCUAUCGAUUUCAUGAGCUCUAACUCGUUCCAGCUCGGUAAAUUCAGUUUCCAGUUUUUGCACAUCUUCAAGCCACCCUGCGACCUGGUUCGUUCGUCUGGUUCGAGGUCGUUGUUCUUCGACCUCAACCUUGGUCUUCAGAUCGUCCCUUGCUCGAGUCAAUUUGUGCAAUUCAGUCUCCAAGACCCGAAGGUUUUUUUCGAGACCCCAUACAUAAUUUGCUUGUUCACCAACGCAGUUUGAAGUUCGAUCAAAUAAGUCUGCUGGUAAGAAGGUUGAGAUUAGGUUACCCAUUGUCGUUGACGAAAAGAGGAAGAGAAGCAACGAGUACAAUGAAAAGAAUUAAGCUAAUUUUUACUUAAAUUCUUAAGAAUUGCUGUCAAAUGCAAACAGAGUAUGAGAAUCAGGUCUUUAUUGAUUAUGAUGACUUGAAUGAAAAUGAAAUACAGAGCUUUGCUAGUUUACAUACAGAGACAAAAAAUAAUGACAGCUAGCCUAAGGGGUAUUACACGGAAGUAAUCAAAAUUGAUCCGUGAAUAUAGCAAUUGUGAACCAAUCACAUUAAGCUUCUAGAAGAUGCAACUAUUCAAUGCACAUGCGCUGCUAUUCUUCAACAUAACAGUUUUGCCAGCUCAACAAAUCCAACUCACAGAAUCAAGGUCAACCGUUGACUCUUCACAGCUGCUGCUUUCAACAAUUUUUAGAGAACCACAACACCAAAAUAAAAAUAUGAUACAUUUGUUGCUUUAUUCAUUAUGUCAAAUAUCAAGAAUAUAAUGAUACGUUUGCACGUCAUAUAAAAUUUGUAUUUCAACCAAGUAAUCACAUAGUUAAUAUUAAAUCUUAUCAUUUGUUAUCUAAGUGAUAAAUUUAUAUUGACAAUAUAUUAUUUAGAAUAAAAAUUUUCUACCUUAGGUUUGGAUGAAGAUCCAAAAUAUUAAGUCAAUGAUAGAUAGAUAAAAAAUAAAAUAAAAUAAAUUUUAACAUUAAUUUUUUAUUUAAUAAAAAGUAAAUUCAAUACAGAAUUCUAAUCCCUUAAUCUCUCUCCAUCCACGGCAAAAGAAAGCAGCAACUCAACUCUCUUUAAAGGCUAUGGAGGUUCUCUUGCGACCUCUCUUCAGCAUACCCUCCAGAACAUUAACCCCACCACCGCCAUCACCACCCUGUUAAACACGUUUUCAAAACGUGUAUAAUGUGGCCAUCUAAUUUAUUUUUAAUUAUUAGUUUUCUAAUUUAAAUUGAUAUUUAUCUUUAUUUAGUUUACUUUUAAAACGUUGGGUUUGGUUUAAAAUUUGAAUAAAGAUAAAACAUCUCUUCCUAAUAUCUCUCAUACACGUUACGGGUGGUUUACUAAAAUCAAGGGGAUAACGGCUCAUAACUUCCUCUUUUAUUUAAACUUGUCAUCUUGAUGGGAGAUGUUUUACGGUCACGUUUUUUCAAGAAAAAUAUUGAGGGUCCCUGGUCUAACAACAGAGCCUGUGUAUACCAUCUACUCUCAGGAAUUAAGUGUUGGAUAGACUAGAAAAUUCUGAGUACAAAGCAUGGCUUGUUUUCGUUGGUUUUGUUUGCAUUCCAGUAGAAAGGUUGUGUACAAUUGAAUUUGAUAACUAUGGCAGGAGGUAAGUUUUCUAACUUGUGCAUGAUGAAUAUAGUCUUUUACACCCCACCAAUCAUCUCACUCUCAAAACUCUCCAUUUUUGCCUCCAUUAAUUCCCACUCUCUCCAAAACCCUGAUUUCUUCCUCUUCUCGUUUCCUCUCGCCCGCCCCUGGUACGCCAAUUUCCAUUCUCUCGCUCUUUUUUUUGGCAAUUUUGGCUUGAGUUUUUUGGGUUUUUGGUAAUUUAUCUUUAAUUUUUGUGGGUAUCCUUCGUUUUUUUAGUUAUCAUACAUGAGUUGAGUAGUCGUAGACGAUUUUUUAUUGUUUUAAACUGAACGGAUUCUUUGUAUUUCGAAAAUGAAAUUCAUUGUUUGUGAAGUAACUUUUAAAGCUGUUGAGUUGAGUUUGAAAACUUAAUGUGCUUAAAUUUAUCUAUGUGGAUUUGAAUCAGUUAGACAAGCAGCACAGGAGAGCCAAUCGAGCGCGGAGGUGAAUGCCGAUAGAAGAGAAUGGUUUAUGCAAGGUACAUUAAUAGUAAUUUGAUCUGAUGCCAAUUUUAUUUCUAUAUUAAUUUAUUAGAUUAUGUAAUGUUAUAAAUUCUUUGUUCAAAAUGUAGAGCUUGGAAAUUUAGUCGGUACAUUAUGGUAAUGAAUGUAGCUUGUGUAUCUGUUCAAAUUUAUGUCUAGCUUUGCUGUUUUGGUAAUGGUUUGUUUAGUAUAAAUUUUGUGUUGGUUAUGAUGUUGUUUAGUGGUUUGGAUCACUCGUGCUCUUUUGGCCCCCACUAAAAUUAAUUUUUCAUCAAAGGAUAUGAAUAGUUGUUCGAUGGAAACUUAAUGGAAGAUGUGGGAGCAUCUUUAUGAGUUAAGAUUCCCUGUAGCGAGUAUAUCCUUUGGUGCAUGAGAGUUUAAGUGAUUAUCGUCAUUGUUGAGUUAAACAAUGGGAUUAAUUUUCAUGUUCAUGUAAGGUGAUCAUCGCUAAAGUUAGAGCCAUUAGGUGAUAAAUUGAUACUUCAUUGUGUUGUUAUGUUUGUUAUACUGGAUAAAAAUCCCAGUGAUAGAAUUCAUGUUAGGCGGUUUUGGGUCCUAUUCAAUCCCAAAAGAUGAAUAAGGGGUGAGGCUUUCCCUCACAAUUGUAAAAUCACCACCAUCCUAGUUCACAACCGAUAUAAGACAACCCAACAAUCUCUCCCGCACAUAUUGGGCCUUGGUUCAAAAGCAUGGACACUCGUUUUCACUAGUAGGCUGUUGGACUGAGAUGUUGGUGAAUCUUUUAGUUGAUUUUUUUUUUUUUAUAAAAAGGAAAAGAUUAUGAAGAGAUAAAUACAAUAAAGAAAAAAAGAGAUCAAUAUUGCAAUAAAACAUUUAUGUAGUGAUAUUUUAUAUAAGAAUAAUUUCAUAUAGCUAUAAAAGUAAUGGUCCUAAUUUAUAUUAGGCCAAUUAUAAAUAAGAAUAAAUUUCAUGCUGUAAUAAUUUAUAAUUUUGCUAAAUCUCACCUUAAGGAGCUCACCUCCACGUAGUGUAAAUAUAUAUAUAGAAAAAAAAAAUAUGUUAUAUUACAUUAAGUGAACUUGGGGGUUGUUUGGUACCCCUCUUUACCUGGGAUUGCAUUGUGUUAGCAAUGCAACCCCAUGUUUGGGGUACCAAAUGGCUAUAUUAGCUAAACUCGACAUAUAGUCGGGUUUAGCUAAUGCGUCCAGUUACCGCAUUAGCUUUAGCUUCCUCUUUUUUUUUUUUUUUAUACUUUGUAAUAAUGAUAAAUGAAUAUAAUUUUUAAUUUAAUAUUAUAUAAUAUUAUUUUUACUUUAUAAUUUUAAUAUAAAUUAAUAAAUUUAUUGUUUAAUAAUAUUAUAUUAUAUUUUAAUUUUUAUCAUAGUAAAUGUACAACUAAAAAAUGUAUUAUUUAAUUAUAUUACAUUAAUUAAUAUGUAAAAUUAUAUUAAUUAAUAUAUAUAAUUGAUUAAUUUUUAAUAAGUUAAUAUAACUAAUAAUAAAUACUUAAAUAAUAUAAUAUAAUAUAAUAUUAUUUAAUUUAUUAAAAUAAUUAAACUAGUUAUUUUUAAAUAAUUUAAUAUAACUAAUAAUAAAUAUUUAAAUAUGAAUAAAUUUGAAUAAUAUUAAUUAAAAAUUAAUAAAAUAUAUAAUUAUUAGAUUGUUUAGCACAAUUCAUUUUUUAGCACAAUUCAUUAGUAUUUUCUAAAUAUAUAAUUUAAAUUAGUCACAAAAAAUUAAUACAAUAUAGUGCAAUAUCAAAUAUAAUAUAAUUAAAAAUUAAAUAUAAUACAGUAUAGUACCAAACAUUAUACAACAUUAUUAUAAUACAUUACUAAUACAACACAACAUAAUGCAAUACACCUGCAUUAAAAUAAUGCAAUACAAUAUAAUAUAAUACAGCGUGCCAAACGCACUCUUGUAUCCAUAUAGUACAAAAACAACAUAAGAGAAAAAUGUUAAAGAGAACACAAAAGUUCAGAGACUUUUAAGAUAAUGUUUUAUAUUUGUAACAAGCAUGUGCUAACUUUUUUGAAACCAUGUAUAUUUAUUUUUUCCCUAAGUUACAUGCAUGUAACUUAGCAUUAGCCUCAUUUUAUUAUUAUCUAUACAUUGGAUUUGACAUGUUUCAUUAAUAAUUUAUUACUACAUCUCUAUUAAAAUAAUUGAGGUCCUGCACUUUCAUUGGAAGAUAGGAGAAAAAAAUAAUUGAUAAGAGAAGAAAACAAUUUAAAAUAAAAUUUUAAAAUAUUUAUCAUUACUUAAAAAAAUUAAUUUUCUUUUCCUAAAGUUAUUCCACAGACGGUAGUACAAAAUUAUGUGAUCACGCACGCACACAGUGAUAGGGUAAUUAUUGAAACAAAAAUGAAAUUUGUCUGUUUUCCAUUUGAAAUCUAUUACUAAUAUAAAGGAAAAGAAAAAUCUUUAAUUACUUUUUUUUUUUUUCAUGUAGGGCAAGGCAAACAUCACUAUCUUGUUAAAUUAAUAUUUAAAAUUAUCCCACCAAAUGUAAUUAUAACAAAUUAAAUAAAUAUUUACUAUGAGUUCAGCAUCUGGGUUCCCACUCCAUAAAUAUGCCAGCAUUUUAAAACAAACAAGACUUAGAGUGUGUUUGGGAUUGAGGUGCUGUAGCUUUUAAGCUACAGCUGCUGUGAAAAAAAAACUGUAAUUAUGAAACAAAAUUUAAUAAUAUAUAGUAAAUAUAAAUUUUAAAUAAUAAUUUUGAUAAAAAUAUUAAAGAUAUAAUAAAUUUUAUAUUAUACAAGUGAAAAAUCAUAUUAACAUAGCUUAAAAGCUACAGCAGCUAGUGUUUACCAAACACUACAGCUGCCCAACCUCAAUCCCAAACGCACUCUUAAGCGACAAAUACAAUUUUGUCAAUGAGUAUAAAGGUCGCAUUAUAAGCCAAAGGAGAGCAGUUAAGGGAAGAUAAAAUAUUAUUGUAUUGAACUGGUUAUUUCUCUCUAGGGGUGGCAAAAAAGUCUGGGCUGGUCUAGGCCCGCGGGCCUAAAGCCCGGCCCGUAAGGGUGGGCCCAGAUAUUGGCCUAAAAAUUACAAAGCCCACAUAUGUGGGAUCUGGACAAGGGCUUAGCAAAAAAGCCCGGACUUGGCCCAGGCUUUUUAAAUUUAUGAAUAAAAAAUAAAUUUAAUUUAAAUAAAAAAAGAAAAAACUCAAAAUAUUAAAUUAGUUUAAUUUUUUAUAUUAGUAUUUGUUAUUUUAUUAGGUUGUAUUAUUAAUAUUUUAUGUAUUGGACUAUUAUUCUAUUUUAUAUAUUAGAUGAUUAUCUUUAAUUUAAAUUUUUUCUUAAUUUAAAAAAUAUUUUAUAAUUAAUUUAAAAAGCCCAAGCCCGGCCCAGGCCCGGCCCGAGUUCGGUCCGUCCAAAUUUAAACGGGUUUUUGAAGGGCCUGGACUUCGUUUGAAUGAUGUGGGCUUGGGCCUGGGCUUUGAAAAGCCCGGCCCAAACCCGCAAAUUGCCAUCCCUAUUUCUCUCUCUUCUAUUAUUAAUUUGUUGUUAAUUAUAACCUUUGCGGGAUUUAAAAAAAAGAAAAAGGCCCUUGCGUUUUCAUCAACAUUACACUGCCAAAUGUGAAAUGGAUUGAGAACCACAUGUCCUUAUUAUGCUGCCACUCCACAAAUGUUUAUUUUCCCCUCAUUCUCCUUAGAAGCCAGAGGCAGAGUCAGUCCUGCACCCCUUUACGUAUGCCUUCUCCAUAAAUUAACAUAAACGAUUAGUAUUAGAGCUGGCAAAAUGGGUCAUCGGGUCGUGUUUGUAUUGUGUCAGCUUCGUGUCGUGUCAAAUUUAGGUCGACCCAUACUCGACCCAUUUAAUAAUCGUGUCAAAAUAUUGAGACACAAACCCGACACGGAAAAAUAAUCAGGUUAUCCAAUAACCCGCUAUCUAUAUAUUAAACAAAAGUUACAUCAAAUAUUUACACAUUUUCAUACAUACGUAUGCGCAUACAUACAUACAUAAUUUAUUGAUAUUAUAAAAUAUACAUAUCUACUAAAAUAUUAGACACACUAUUGAGGUUUUAAUUAUAUAUGUGUAAAUAAUAUUAUAUAUCAAUAUUAUAAAAUAUAUAUGUCUACGAAUAUUUUAUACAUUUAUACUAGCUCUAAAUGUAUUUAAAAAUUCAUAAAUAAAAUAUUAUGUCUAUAUUCAUCCUUUUAAAGAAUUAAAAAAAAUCAUCUCUAAUAUUUGAGUUUUGGUGACAAGAAUUUACAAAUUAUUUUAAAAUAGAAAAUAUAAUCGGGUCAUUGAUCGGGUAAAUGGGUCAAGAAUUUUAACUCUAACCCGACACGAAAAAAAAUCGUGUUGACCCGGACCCGACCCAUUUAAUAAUCGUGUUAAAUUCAACGACUCAUACCCAUUUAUUAGUGUUGUGUUCGUAUUGGGUAAUCGGGCCGUGUCAAAUUUUGCCAUAUCUAAUUAGUAUAAGAUGAUUUAACCACACAAUAUGUCAAAUUUACAUUUUGCAAUCAUUGAUACUUGGUGCUACAGUCAAAUUUAUAUUUAUUCAAGGUAGCGGGUUCAAUAAUUAAAUUCACAUAAAAAGAAAGAUGCAUUCACCCUUAAUGGCCCAGGAGCCAACCAAAUUCCGCGUCCGCGAAGUGAGGCACUUUUCUUAAAGUUAUUUCACAGACGGAAGAACAAAAUUCUGUGAUCACGCACAAAGUGAUAGGGCAAUUAUUGAAACAUAAAUAAUGUCUAUUUCCCAUCCGAAAUCUGUUCUAAUAUAAAGGACAAGAAAAAGUUUUAAUUAUUAUUAUUAUUAUUUUUCACGUAGGGCAAGGCAAACAUCACUAUCUUGUUAAAUUAACAUUUAACAUUGUCCCACCAAAUAUAAUUAUAACCAAUUAAAUAAAUAUUUACUAUGAGUUCAGCAUCUGAGUUCCCACUCCAUAAAUAUGCCAGUAUUUUAAAACAAACAAGACUUAAGCGACAAAUACAAUUUUGUCACCGAGUGUAAAGGUCGCAUUUUAAGCCAAAGGAGAGCAGUUAAAAGGAAGAUAAAAUAUUACCGUAUUUCUCUCUCUUCUAUUAUUAGUUUGUUGUUAAUUAUAACCCUUUUCGGGAUUAAAAAAAGAAAAGAAAAAGGCCUUUGCGUUUUCUAUUAGCAUGUGUACAUGUUUAUUUUCUGUGUUAGUAGUGCAGAGUAUAUACUGAACACACUGGACAAAAAGGGUAAUUUGUAAUCAAUUUAGUUUUAUAAACAUUAAUCUCGGAAGUAGUUACUGAACUUCAUGUGGAAAAAAAAAUAAAAAAAGAUAGUCGCUGAGCAAUAAAUCUACAAGUCAUCAAAAUCGAGCAAUUCUAUGGCAAGAAUUCUUUCCAGUGGGAGGAUUCUAAAACCAAGAAUCCACUGCUGAAAUUUUAUUCACUGAAAAUAGGGAACGAUUGACACACCAGACAACAAGAACAAGAUGCAAUUAAAUCUAAUGAAAAUUAAAAAAAGAAAAAAGAAAUACAUAUUCAAACAUAUUAAUGAAAAUCAUCCCCAAGUACGACACCGGAAGAGAAAGCAUUUUGGGUGGCUUGAUCCUCCCAUUGUAGCUCUUCCCACCAUUCUUUCUCUCCCUCGAUGACAACUCGACGUUCCUUCACGCUGCUGGAAUUGACUGGGAGCUUCUUCAGCUGUGGGCAUCCACGUACUUGAAUUUUCUUCAGCUUUGGAAGGGGCAGGGGAUUCGGGUAAACGCUCUUUAAAUUUCUUCCCCACUUUAUGGUUAGAGAUUCGAGUUGUGCAAAAAAGUUAUGCUCUGACCCGAUUAUCUCCGAAAUAUCUCUCAAUUUAUCAACACUAAUUAUUUCUUCCAUUUCUGUACAAAAGACUAUACGCAGCUGCUUGAGAAUUUGAACAAAAACUAGCCACGUUAAGUCUUUCAUUUUUUUGCAACUGCUUAUGACAACUCUGUCGAGACUGCGGAAACCACUUUGAAAAAGCUUCUUCACCUCUUCUGUGCUGUCAAUCUUCAUCUCUUCCAAGUUAAUGUCUUCAAGAUCUAACUCCUGAAGAUUCUCCAUGUAUGCGAGAUGUAAGAGAUUGAACGGUGCACUUUUACAAUGGUAAACCAAUACAAAUUGAGUGAUGCUCACCAGCUUUGGAUAUUUCAAAAACUUUUGGACAGCAAGUGAACUUCCGAAGGACCAGCUUAAAACAUUUAAAUGCUUCAAACCCAGCAAUUCCUUCAUCAAAGGUUCAGCACCAUCACAUAGAACGUUACCUUCUUUCCCUUUUAUUACCGAAAGCGACCGCACCCACGCAACCUGAGUACCUCCAACUUUGAAAAGCCAGAUAUCAAUUCAUGUGGAAUUAUAGACAAAUGAAAUGCAUAGUCCAAGUUCAAAUAUCUCAGCUUCUCCAAUGCCUUCAGCUCUUGCGGCAACCCAGUUAUGUCAGUCGAUGAAAGAUCAAGAUGAUGUAAUGAAACCAAACUUGAAAUCCCUGAAGGUAGUUUACUUAGGGAAAGAUUUAUUCGUAGACUUAAUACUCUAAGAGAAGACAUCGAUUGAAAGAAGCCAUCAGUAAUCUCCUCAAUCCAAUUUCCAUCCAGAAGUAAAGUGACGAGACGUGGACACGUGGGAAUUUCCGAUAGGCUUUGAAUUCUAGUUUUCAUCAGAGAUAUCCGUUUGGCACCUUCCCAUUCUUCAACCUUUGGUGCUUCGGUCAGUUUAACUCCAGCGUGAACCAGAAAGUUCUGCUCCUCCUUGUCUACCGUGCACGCUAUCCAUAAUGACAUCUCACGAAUCAUAUCGUGCAUCUUUACAUGAUCAUCGCCUUCUUCCUCCAAUAAGCAUGCUUGAAGAAGGUCAUCAAUAAAAUCGCAUCCAUCAUCAAAAUCACACACAAAUCCUUCACUAAUCCAGUAAUCAAUCAAUUCCCUUCUAGGAAUUUCGUAGUCUUCAGGGUACAAACAACAAUACAGGAGACAGGAACGAAGUUCGUCCGUAGACAAACUAUCAUAGCUGAACUUUAAACGCGAAAACACCUCUUCUUUCAUACCUGAGCAUUUAGAAGCUGAUGUUCUCAUUUUGUGAAUUGCACGUUUCCAAUCUCCAACUUUCCUUUGGCUUUUCAUCGCUCGACCCACUGUUUUAAGCGCUAGCGGCAACCCACCACACUCUCUUGCCAAGGUUUCGGCUAGCUCUGGAAUACUGGUAUGACUGUCAAGAGUGGAUCUUUCGACCAUCUCCUGAAAUAAUUCCCAGGCUUUAUCAUGCGCCAAACUAUACACUUCCACCUUUUCAGCGUCCAUUUGAUCGCAAACACCAGCUGAACGAGUUGUCAAGACUACUUUGGACCCAUCAUUUAGUUUUUGAAGAGGGACACCCAAUUGUGUUAAAUCAAUGCGUUCCCAUAUAUCAUCCAAUAACAACACAAACUUCUUUCCGCUUAAAAUUCUAGCGAUGUCCGCAGCCUUGUCUCGAGGACUUUUUUUCUCCCACCUUUGGUCUUCUGAAAAGCCAAUCCUUUUUCCAAUGUCAUCUUGAAGUGUUGACGCAACCGCCCAGAUAACAACAUCAAAAUUAUGCUGUUGAUGGCAGAAGUUGUUGUUGACUUGUUUUAAAAGGGUAGUUUUGCCGGCUCCCCCUAUACCAUACAAGCCGAUAAUUCCCCUGUUCUUUUCCUGAUCAGUGAUACAUCUCCAAACUUGAUCAAGUAAUAGUUCUUGACCAACAACUGUGUGAUCAAGAGGUAAUUCAAUUGCUGCACCAUCUGGCGCCUUCUCAACAACGACUUCAAUUUUUUCUCCGUCUUUCUUUAAAUUGAUCACUCGAUCCGUCAACUCGACCACCUGAGUCCCGUAAUUGUAGCUUGAAACGAAGUUUUUGGAACAGAGGCCUCCAAGGCACAAUCUAUCCAUUUCUUGAGCUCUAACUCGUUCCAGCUCGGUAAAUUCAGUUUCCAGAUUUUGCACAUCUUCAAGCCACCCUGCGACCUGGUUCGUUCGUCUGGUUCGAGGUCGUUGUUCUUCGACCUCAACCUUGGUCUUCAGAUCGUCCCUUGCUCGAGUCAAUUUGUGCAAUUCAGUCUCCAAGACCCGAAGAUUUUUUUCGAGACCCCAUACAUAUUUUGCUUGUUCACCAACGCAGUUUGAAGUUCGAUCAAAUAAGUCUGCUGGUAAGAAGGUUGAGAUUAAGUUACCCAUUGUCGUUGACGAAAAGAGGAAGAGAAGCAAUGAGUACAAUGAAAAGAAUUAUGCUGCUUUGGAGAGGGUUAUAUUUGGAGAAGCACAAUACCGAAAUAAAAAUAUGAUACAUUUGUUGCUUUAUAAUUCAUAUGUCAAAUAUCGCGAACAUAAUGAUACGUUUACACGUCAUAUAAAAUUUGUAAUUCAUUUCAGUAAUGACAGAAUUAAUAUUAAAUCUUAUCAUUUAUUAUUUAAGUGAUAAAUUUAUAUUGAGAAUAUUUAUUUAGAAUAAAAAUUUUGUGCCUUUACUUUGGAUGAAGAUUCAAAAUAUUAAGUCAAUGAUAGCUAGAUAAAAAAAUAAAAUAAAAUAAAAUAAAUUUUAACAUAAAUUUUUUAUUUAAUAAAAAAUAAAUUCAAUAUAAAAUUCUAAUCCCUUAGAUUUACAAGUGCAAUCAUUGAUGAUGUAAAGAAUUAUUAUUUUUUUGGUUAAAAUACUAAGAUAUGGACAGUCAAUCAUUAGCCAUAUGGAUUCAAUUUCUUGAUCGACCAAAAACCUUGUUUCGACUGAAAUCUAUACGUGCAAGUGAACAUAAAUGAACAAGCUUUCAUCUGGAUUUACAGAGUGUGAAGUAAAUGGUGCGCGGUUGGAGGGGGGGGGAGCUUAAAUGGCAUGUUUUAUUCAAACGAUGCUGCAACUGCAGUUCUUAGUAGUUGGAUUCAGAAAACUAAGCUUCGAUAUCAUGACAUAACAAAAGAUGCAAUAAAAAUUGCACGGACAUAAUAGUUGUCAUGCUUCCAUAACAACGUUACCAAGUCGGUAAAAGCUAGGAAUAACAAAACACAUAAAAGUAGUUUCAUAUUAGAGAAUAUCUGAAUUUCCUGGUUGGUGGAGUUUCUUUGAUGAUCUUGUUCGAAAGCUAAUACCAUUCAACUCUAAAAUGUACCUCAAAGUAUCAAUCAUCUCAAUUAACUAGCCACAAAGUUUCCUUAGCUUGCCACAGUUCAGUUGUAGCAAACUACCAAAGCCCAUUUGACAAGCAGCCACUCUUUGUUCAUCUGUCAGCUGUGAAAGUGCCACCGCUAAUCUAUCUGGAGUCCAUCUGGUUAAGAACUUUGCCUUUGCGACUGCUGACUUCACUAUUCGUUCGCAUUGACUUUGUAUUGACAUUUUUUACCCGGCGGUAAAUUCUUAAACAUGGAUUCAAUUUCCGUCCAGUACACAAUCAUGGCAAAUAAACUAACUACGCCUUCACUACUUGAAAAUACAAAUUUAUUUUAUUUGUAACGCAAGUCAUUCCAUCGCUUGCCUUAACCUCACGCACGGCUUCACCGCUGCAAUAUCAUCAUAUGACUGCGAAAUUAUAUAUCUCUAUAAUUUUGUGAUGCAUAUGCAUUUUGCUUUUCAUGCCCUUGCAUUACUGAGCUGAUUUAUAUUCUCUGCUUGCAGUUUCAUUCACUAAUAUCCUUUAAUUGUUGUCAACGUCUUCUGGUCUAUAUUUGAUGAGCAUAGUAAAUACCUACUUUUGAUGCUCCAUAUACAAGUAUUAUCAGUCUGUUGCAAAUAGAUGUUUAUCACUAAUGUUGAAAUCGUAAAAUUUUAGACAUACUAGAACCUAAAAUCAAUGAUCCAAAGAGCCAUCGCCGUUUUUUGGAGCAGUUCUUGCAAUAGAUUCCCACUGUGGUUUUGAUUAAUUUGGUCAUGAUGCUUGUGUGCAGUGAUACUGGUAGGAAAGUUGAUGAUCCUGAGGUGCUUGAGGCAAUUCGUUUGACAGUUAUAAACAAUCUACUUCAGUAUCACCCAGUAAUCAUUUUUUUGUCUCUCUUGAGAUAUAACUUGGUGGAGCACCUGUAGGAAUUGUCUUAUUGAAAAGCUUAUUCCAUUUGUGUUGGUGUUGGAAUCAGGAAUCAAGUUCCCAGUUUGCAAUGGGUGUUGCCUUUGGCGUUGAUCCUCCAAAACAACAGGUUUUUGCUUUCUGGUCUUAUUUUGAUUUUUCAGAUUAUUGAUAUUUUUGGCUCUUCUCAGUAGUGGAUCAUUUGAAUAGGAAACUAAGUUGUUUUUAGAGUUCUCUUAGGCCAAAUAUUACUUCACUUUUAUCCUCAUUUUAUUUAAAGACAUUAUAUUCAAUUUGCCUGCCAUUGAAAUUAAUAUCAUGUUGUCAUGAAUGUUAAAAACUAUGCAUAUGAGUUAUUAUGGGAAGGAUAAUGUCCCACUUCAAUCUUGUCUCAAAUCUUGUUGUGCUGGAAUUUGUCAGGUUGAUGUGGACAUAGCAACCCACAUAAGCAUCUAUGAUGAUGGCCCCAACCGAAGGUAAUGCAUAAUUCAUUCUCUUAUCUAGAUGAUGGGGCUUUUGCUAUCCACCAAACUUUGGUCCCACACUAUUACUACUCAUACUCCAGCCCAAGUGGCAAUUUCCUGCCCAUAACUGAAGUAGUCAGAUAAUUUGGCCCUUACUAUUUUUGUUUAUUUUACCUUUUGUUUUAUUGAAGUUUGCUUUUGGUGGAGACGGCUGAUCGACCUGGAUUAUUGGUGGAUCUUGUAAAGAUUUUUACUGUCAUCAAUGUCAAUGUUGAAUCGGGAGAGUUUGAUACUGAGGUAGUGAGGUAAUCUUUUAUAACAAACUCUAUAUAUAUAUAUAUUGACAAAAGAGUGGCCUUCCCUUAUAAAUAUAUUUUGUUCUAAUUUUUGUUUUCGCACCCAGGAGUUGUUGGCUAAGGCAAAGUUUCAUGUCAGCUACAAGGGUGAAGCCAUUAUCAAGCCUCUCCAACAGGUAAAAACAACAGGCCUACAUAUAGGACAUCGGAAAUUGCUUUAUAGAUUGUUUGCUCUGAAGAAUAAAGAGACUUACCAUUUCUACUCAAAAUCGGUAUUCUAGUUGCAAAACUGUUCUUAUAUAAAAGAUUUGAAUUUAAACUUUGAAGUGGGCGGUAAGAACAUUAACGUGCUAAUGAUCACACGGUGCACCUGAAGGCUUGGACGAUCGUUGAUGUACUGAUUAGACUUUGCUUGAUCAAAUUUGCAGGUUCUUGCUAACAGUUUGCGAUAUUUCUUGAGGCGACCAACAACCGAGGAGGCAAGUUUUUGAGCUCUUGUUGAAGACUCCACCAACCAAAUUCAGGAUUACACACACUUGAUGAAUUUUUUUAUUUCUCUCCCCAGUAAACAUUCACAAGGGGAAUUACAAUAUGUUGUCUCCCUAAUCUCCUUACAUAAAAUAAAUAAAACAUGAGAUAUAUAUAAACGGACAACAUUUUAAUGAUAUAUCAUAUGGUAAACACUUAUAAAAUAGAAACCUUGCUAAUUUUAUCAUCCUCAUCAAUUCAUAGUCCUUUUUAAAUAAUUUUCAAGUUUAGGGAUAUGAUAUAGCUGUGUUGUAUUACUCAUAUUAAUCUUAAGCCUAAAGUUUGCAAUGGGUUGAUGAGCAUACAACCUUUUUCUAUUCAUGGAUUAAAAUAAUAAUAAUAUUAUUAUUAUUAGUUUUUUUUUUUUUUAUGUGAACCUUAGUUUACAUCCUAAAUUUUCCUAUAUCAACAUUUCAUUCCAGUACGCAAACAAGAUACAUCACUAUGGUUUCUUUAAUUUCAUUCUGUUUUCAUGCUUUGAAAAUUAGCGUCAUGACAUUGAUUCAGCAACUUUCACAAAACAGAAACAUAAAGGAGAUUUUUACCAUGUGGCUUUGGUGCAUUGGUCAUCAAAAUCUGCACAAUUAAUUAUAAAGAAUAUACGAUGUUUGCGCGUGCAAUUAUGAACGACUCAUCUUAUAUCAACUUAAGGGCAAAAUUAUUUUAAAAUCUCUUUGUAUAUAUGUUACAAUGUCAUUAAUUUUUUUUGUCAAUGGUCAUAGUUUAUUUAAUUGGCUACCAUUUUUAAGUUUCUUAUGACAGUUAACGGGUGAGGUAAAUCGAACACUUAAUUUUUUUAUAUUUAUAUCGUCAAUGGUGGAUUCAAGAAAAUAAUUUAUCGAUGACUAAAUUAUAUGACGACACGAUUCGAAAACUCAAAUUUUAUAGGUUUAAUAAAAACUAAAUUAAAUAAUAGUAAACCACCUAUAUGGGUUACCUCAUAACUUUUUAUAUUUUAAUUAAAGUGUGGUUUUUGUAAUUCUCAAAAUUAAAAUUUUAUAAAUUUUGAAUUUAUAAGACUAUUUUUAUAAAUUUAACUUGCCUAUUUUAAUAUAUUCAACAGAAUUAAUUAAUAACUCAAAUAUUUUUUUUAAUUAUUCUCUCUGUCCCACUAAUCAUGAGGUGAAUCCACCUCUAUAUCUCAUUUUAUAUUGUGUAAUCUCGUUAUGACUAAAAAGUACCUCCCUUAGAUUCAACUACUUAUCUAGGGAAAGUUUUUAAAAGCUGAGUCCACAAGCCAUGUCCCAUAACUUAGAUGACUGAAAAACAAAAACAAAACAAAAGGGAACAAAAGAAGGCCAUGCGGCCCAUGCUCUGCAAUGAGUGCUCCCUAAUGAUCAAGAAAGAGUAUUAUAAUUUAAUAUUUAUCCAAACAGAAAAUGACGUACACGGGAACAAUAAAUGAUCUCCCUAGAGAUGAGAGAAAUGGAUAACAAUAUUCUCUUAUUUAACUUCACUAUAUAAAGAGCUCUCUAUCAAAAUCAUAAUUCAAUUCAUUCCACCCACAUUGUUUGGAAAGAGAGAAAGUGAGAGAAAAAAGAAGGAAAAUAUGACAGGAUCAUUUGCUAGAGGAGCUCCCACCUUUAACUCCAUGUUUUUCAAGUAAUGUUUUCAUUAUCUAUCUACUUUGCUAUUUCAUCAUUUCAUUUUGACAAUCGCACUUCAUUAUUGCAUGGUAUGUUUGUAAAUAAAUGUUUUCACUUUAUCUAAAUUAAUUUUGUUAUGAAACAGUUCGUUCGAAAUAGGCCUAAUAGUUUCAAAUUAUUUAUUUACUAAUUAUGAGUGGUUGGUUAAGUACAUAGAAUUAAAUGUUUUAUUAACUGAACCAAUAUGUCUCCACAGGGGCCUCAGGUUAAAAAAAAUUAUCAAGAAAUAUGAAAGUCUUCAAUUAAAUUUGUCUCUGUGUCUGAUAAUUUUAUUUUGUAGCCCCCAUAUGUUUAUAUUCUUGUGGUAUAACCUACUUAAAAUUUGUUGUUUCUGUAUGAUUGAUGACAUCCAAAAUCCUGAUUUCGCCACUGUCCACGCAAUAAUAAAAAGAGAUUGCUUUCAUUCAUUUGAGUGUUUGAAUAUUUUACUCUUUGUUUUUGCAUUAUUAAUUUGUUGAGUCUUUUUGAAACAUAUAGGCCAAUGAUGAGGAAAUCCUUUCAAAAGAAAACAAGUUCUUAUGAUAUGAUGAGAGAAACAACAUUGAAAUCCAAUGCAGAAGAAGGAAAUGUGAUGAGGAGCCAACAGUUGAAUAAUAAUGUGGGAGAAAAUGAAGGGAAUUGUGGUUGGGUUCCUCAUGAAAGAACUGGGAUUUAUUACCCAAAAGGCCAUGAAAAAGUUAUUGACGAUGUUCCUCCUAGCGCUGGAAGAGAUUUUGAAGUUAAUUGGUUCUCAGAAACUCAUGGAUAAUUUAUGGAUAUGUUUUUUUUUUUUCAAAUUACUACACAUGCUUAAAGCGAAAAGGCUUUCUAUUGUCUCAAAGCAAAAUCCGAUUGUGAAAAAAAAAAUUAAAAUAAAAUAACAAUAAUGGAAAAUGAAAUCAUUUAGAUUCAGCUCAAUGCUAAGCAUUCCAAAAUUUAAGUUUCAAAAGAUAUGACAAUCAUUUAUUAGAUGGUGGUUAAAUAAUUUUACAAGUUAUGAAAUCUAUCGUCUAAUAAAUGAAUAACGUGUGACUUUUAAGACUUAAGAAGUUAAGACUAAAAAAUUAGGAUCUUAAUAUUAUUCUUACUUUUAUAUCAUCUUUUUAUUUAGGUCUAUUGUUUAUUGUCGUCUGAUUCUUCAAGCUAAAUGUACAAAACUACAAAUGGAUUAGGUGGGCCUCGCAUGGGCUUAAUUUUUUGUUAUGGCUCAUGAGUGGUCCUAUUGGUACCCCUAAAAAACCUUCUCAAACCCUUCUUUUAUAAUCAUGCAUUUGUCCCUAUUUAAAUUUACAAUGAUAAACAGAAGAAAUUAAAUUUUAUUCAAAUAACUAGUCUCCAUAAUUACAAUCAUGUGAAACCAAAACUCGACUUAACAAUUUAUUAUUUAUUUUGACGAUAUUUAGUUGACAUUCCUUGUUUAUCAAAGCACAAUGUAUUUUCUUAAAUUUUGAUAAAAUUUUAAUUAUUUUGUUAUUAUUAUUUAAGAUGAAACCUUAAAAUAUCAAUAACCAAUGUUGGAUGUUGUUAUAAGAAAUUCUAAUGAAAAUAUUAUGGAAAUAGCUUUUAAAAUUAUAAGUUCUAAUGGAGAUAAUGAUUAUUCGAAAGUUGAUGCCAUCAGAUUUGGGUUUCAAGCUCCCCAAGACGAAGAAAAUGUGAAAAUGGGGUUGGUGUGUAAACCAAGGGUGUUUUUGGAAUCAACUUAUGUGGGUUUAGAAAUCGAGUGAGGCUAUAUACACUCUAAAAAUUACACUAAACACCAUAAUUUUAUAAAAAAAUUUAUUUCAAUAAUAUUUAUGGUAUAAAUUAUUAUUAAGGACAUGACAAUUAUUAAUUUUUUUUGUAUGACUAUAAUUACUUCUUUUUCAGUUAUAUUAUGAUGAUAUUAAACAAGUUUACAUUGGUUGCUUGAUUUUUUCUUUUGGCCAAAAAAUACAUGUCAUUCCACAAUACCAGAGUAACAUGGACAAUUAUUCAGACUCUUACAAACUAGUCUGCAACUGAGGCAUUACAACCCAGCAAACAUUUUUGCGACAUAAAAAUGUUCAGACAAAUCCAGAUUAAAAAAAAAAGGGCUUAAUUUACCAUCCUCUUUUGACAAACUUUGAAUUUUCUGACAUUCAAUUGGAGGUGGAAGUGGCAUCAUAGUUGUACUGAAGAAGAUCGUCAUAAGGGUCCCAGGCACCUACUCUGAAUCAUUCUUUCUUGUCCCUCUCUUUCAAGUCCUCCAUCAACCUCAAAAUCAUAUUCUCAGCAAUUAAAAAUUUCAUCUUCACUUCUCUUCUUGAUUCUAAGCUCAGAACUAUGAAGCGCAAGCUGCGUCUUUUAUUUAGCUAAAUGAUAUAUUGGUUAAUUGAUUUAUUUGUUCGGAUUAUAAUGUUUAUUUCUCACGAUCUUUUCAUUGGUGAAAUUUUUUGAUGGAUUUUUUUAGUUGCUCCUUUAUCAUUCUUCAUUUAUUGGAGAAAUAUAUUAUACAACCAAAUAAUUAAAUUUUAAUGAUAAAAGAGUGUUUAGAGAAAUAUUUUGAAUAUGUAAGGCGUUUUCAUGAGUGUGUUAGAGUAAAUUAAUUUAAAAAGGAUUAAAUGAGUACAUUUUUGGUACUUUAAGGAAUGUACAAAAUAUAGUUCAUUUUUUUAAAUUAAUAAAUAAGUGUAUAUAGUAAUAAAACUUUGAGAAUAAUUUUUAGACUACAAAUAACUCUGCCCUUAGAAAUAAUAUUAUUUUUUGAAUGAUUUAGUGGGCAUAUUGAAUAAAGAUUUUUAUGAGGGCUUUCAAAGGUGCGAUAGUUCUACUCAUGACUCAUUUUUCUGCUAUUAGGAUUUACUCUUUGUUUCGUACUUUCAUUUGAGUGGAGCUCUCUCUGUCUCUCUCUCUCUCUCUUUGGAAAUGGAAAGCUUCAAUCAAUCACUUCAAGGAAAAAGACUUACAUGAGUUGAAAUUUCCUCCAGCCAAAUUACACGGCCCGAAUUGUUAACAUCAUAUUUAUCUAAUUUAUGAGCGGUCUCACUACUACUGCUCAGUAUAAGAUUGAUUUUGAAGUGGUCUUUCACAACCAUACAAUUUCGAAUCUCGAAAAUUAACCAUGAUAUUUCUUUCAUACUUCUUUCAAAACCUUUCGCCAAGUUUAAAAUAGUCUUCGAGUCUGAUUCAACAAUUAAUGGCAUUAAACCAAAGUCUAUUGCCAUUUUUAUUCUAAAAUUCAUAUCUUCAGCUUUAGCAUAUUCAACGUCCCCAUGAAAAUCUAUAUUCUGAAUUCCUACACUCCAAAAUCCUUAUAAAGCUUGUUUUAAUUUUUAUUUAUCAAAGUACCUUGGUUUAAUUUAUAAAAUACUAAUCCAUAAAUUAAAAUUAAUAAUCUUCUCAUUAAAUUUCACCUUAAAAAGAUUAUAAAUUAUUAAAAGUUUCUAAAAAUUAUAUAUAUAUAUAUAUAUAUAUAUAUGAAAUGAGGUGGGUGGAAAAAUGUUAAAAGAAUAAUUUUAUUUAAGUAUUAAUUAAAUUUUCAAUCAAAAUAAAAAUGGAAUUAAUUUAUCUUUAAUUAUUUAAAUAAUUUUAAUUAAAGAGUUAUAAGGAAUUUAAAGGAGGGUCUUAUAGGGGGUGUCAAAAGGCUGCGAUCUAAUGCUUCCGUUCAUCACAAUCUGCUACUGCGAUUGAUCGCGAUCUGCAGCCGUGGUCGCGCUCGUCCUGUCGCCGUUUGUCGUCGCGAUCUGUUACCUUCGGUGAAGAGGAGCACAAUGUUUGUUUUGGGAAUUAUAAUUUUAUAUUUUAAAUUAUUAAUUUCUUAUAUUGUUUGGCCACUGAUUGUACAUUAAAAUUAUAUAGAUUGGUGUUUGUAUUAUUUCAUUGUUUGCUUAUUUGUUAUUAAUGUUAUUAUUGUUUAUUAUUAUUAUUAUUAUUAUUAUUGUAGUAUUAGUAGUUGUUAUUUAAUUUCAUUAUUAUCAUUAAUUAUUACUAUUAUUUAUUUAUAAUGUUAUUAUUAAAUUUAUUAUUAUUAUCAUUAAUACCAAAGGACAACUAUUAUUAUUAUUAUUAUUAUUAUUAACAACUAAGGGCGUUUUAGUAACUUAAAACAACUUAACAUAUUCCGAUUCCGAUUCUUAGAUAAAGUAAACACAUCAAUGGGGUUUUAACUCAUUCCGAUUCCAAUUCCGAUUGCUACAGUUUAAGUAAACAACUUAUUUUGAUUCUCAUUCCUCAUUUUCAUUCCGAUUCUAACCCAUUCCGAUUACUGACAAGUAAACGCAUUAUAAAGGAAAGGAAAAAAAAUUAAUUAUUUUUUUUACCAAAUAUAAUUAUAACAAAUUAACUAAAUAUUUACUAAGAGUUCAGCAUCUGAGUUCCCAAUCCAUAAAUAUGCCAGCAUUUUAAAACAAACAAGACUUAAGCGACAAAUACAAUUUUGUCGACGAGUAUAAAGGUCGCAUUAUAAGCCAAAGGCGAGCAGUUAAGAGAAGAUAAAAUUUUACCGUAUUAAACUUGUAAUUGUGGAUGCCUGGCCUGGUGUUAAAAAGGAUUUAGAGCCACAAAAAGUUUUUGACCAAACCAAAAAGAAGUAGCAAAGCAAAAAAAGGAUAAUAGCAAAGCAAUAAAUCUACAAGUCAUCACAAUCAUGCAACUCUAUAGCAAGAAAAAAAGAAAAAGAAAAAGGAAAUACAUAUUCAAACAUAUUAAUAAUAAGGAUCCUCCCAAAGUACGGCACAGGAAAAGAAAGCAUUUUGGGUGGCUUGUUCCUCCCAUUGUAGCUCUUCCCACCAUUUUUUCGUUCCCUCGAUGACAACUCGACGUCCCUUCGCGCUGCUGGAAUUGAGUGGGAGCUUCUUCAGCUGUCGGCAAUGAAAUACUUGAAUUUUCUUCAGCUUUGGAAAGGGCAGGGGAUUCGGGUAAACGCUCUUUAAAUUUGUUCCCCGCCACAUGGUUAGAUAUUCGAGUCGUGCGAAAAAGUUAUGCUCUGACCUGAUUAUCUCUGAAAUAUCACUCAAUUUAUCAACACUGAUUAUUUCUUCCAUAGUAAAACCCUGCAUAUUUAGCUGCUCGAGGUUUUGAACAAAAACAAGCCACGUUAAGUCCUUCCCUCUGCAAGACCUUAGGACAACUGUGUUAAGACUGCGGAAACCAUUUCGAAAAAGUUUCUUUACCUCUUCUGUGCUGUCAAUCUUCAUCUCUUCCAACUUAGAGGAUUCAAGUUCUAACUCCUGAAGAUUCUCCAUGUAUGCCAGAUGUAAGACAUUGAACGGUGGCCUUGUAUACGUGCCACAUUCAACCCAUACAGAUUGAGUGAUGCUCACCAGCUUUGGAUAUUUCAAAAACUUUUGGACAGCAAGUGAACUUCGGAAGGACCAGCUUAAAACAUUUAAAUGCUUCAAACCCAGCAAUUCCUUCAUCAAAGGUUCAGCAUCAUCACAUAGAACGUUACCUUCUUCUUCUUCU
This 29649-nucleotide long non-coding RNA is filed under the name Citrus maxima (pomelo). RNAcentral's name for it is "long non-coding RNA (CMAX_LNC002006)". The record is from RNAcentral. Lineage: Eukaryota; Viridiplantae; Streptophyta; Magnoliopsida; Sapindales; Rutaceae.